Molecule: ribosomal RNA, 406 nt
Filed under: uncultured bacterium
Lineage: Bacteria
Description: partial 16S ribosomal RNA
Rfam family: Bacterial small subunit ribosomal RNA
Source: RNAcentral
AUUGAACGCUGGCGGCAGGCCUAACACAUGCAAGUCGAACGAGUGGCGGACGGGUGAGUAAUGUCUGGGAAACUGCCUGCUGGAGGGGGAUAACUACUGGAAACGGUAGCUAAUACCGCAUACCAUCGGAUGUGCCCAGAUGGGAUUCGCUAGUAGGGGGGGUAACGGCUCACCUAGGCGACGAUCCAUAGCUGGUAUGAGAGGAUGACCAGUCACACUGGAAAGUAGACACGGUCCAGACUCCUAAGGUAGGCAGCAGUGGGGAAUAUUGCACAAUGGGCGCAAGCCUGAUGCAGCCAUGCCGCGUGUAUGAAGAAGGCCUUCGGGUUGUAAAGUACUUUCAGCGGGGAGGCGUUACCCGCAGAAGAAGCACCGGCUAACUCCGUGCCAGCAGCCGCGGUAAUGC